CGUCUUCUCUUUUCUUCUUCUACAACCUUUUCCGUCAAUUUCGGCGAUUUCUUUCGGUGAAACCAAUAACCUUCCUCGUCAAUUUCUGGUGAAUGCUUGAGACAGAUCCGGCCAGCUCCAGCCAUUUCCCAGCUUGAUGUCUGGACGCUGGUCCUUAUUGCAGACCUUGGCGUCAUCUUCGAUGGUUGGAUGCAGGUGGCUUUAAAAGGGGAUCUAGGGCUUUUUAUAGAUUUUGGUUAAAUUCUCGAACCUUACAAUAUAUAUGAUACUGCCACUGCUUCAUCUUCUCAGGUUUUUGGAAUUUGCCUUUGAUUUUUCUCUUAAACUAUGGCAACGGGAUGCGAAAUGGUUAUAUCUGAAACCAUGAGAGGUUAUCAUUGCCGUUCUCGGAGUUUAUCAGAUUCUGCAAGCAGCAUAUAAGAAGUAUAGAGAAUGAUUCAUGUGUUAAUGCUAUGGCAGAUUCCUAUAGUGAGGACCAUAUACCUGGACAAAUAUACCUAGCACAGGUUAUGAUGAUAUCUAGUUUUCGUCUUUGUGCUUUUGGUGUAUGUAGAGCCCGACAACAAGAGGUUGAAAAUGUGGAUAUUUUCCAGAGUUAACUAAAACGCAGCUCAAGCGGCGUUGACUAUUGCAAGAAGUGAUCUCCAAAGUCCAAGCAUUGUGGGAAAAUUUUGAAGUGACUUUGAGUUUGAAAGGUUUGAUAAAGUAUGAAACAGGUUAGACUGCUAAGAAGAUAUGAUGAUUUGCGGAAAUCAAUGGCAGUGAUCACUGAUCAUGCCAAGCUUCUCGUCAAGUUUUGAUUCUUUUGACUGUAACACAAUGUGUGGGAUUCUCGCUGUUCUUGGUUGCAUCGACAGCACUCAAGCUAAACGUUCUCGUAUCAUUGAACUCUCUCGCAGGUACUCUCUCUCAAUCUUCCCCUGUUUCAUUCAAUCAAUCACCCAUCAACUUCUUCUCGUAAUCUAUAAAUGCUGCGCAUUGUUACUGAAUAAUCGAUUAUGAAUGAAUUGGAAUAAAGUUCUCAACUUUUUUUAUGGAUGGAAUAGAAUGUGUUUGCUUAAUCGAUUGAUCAGUCACUGUUUGAUUUGGCUGCCAAAAAAAAGAUUUGAUCUUUGUGGAGAAG
Non-coding RNA from Camelina sativa (false flax), 1123 nucleotides. The record is from RefSeq and is a predicted model, not a curated record. NCBI's taxonomy places the organism in Eukaryota, Viridiplantae, Streptophyta, Magnoliopsida, Brassicales, Brassicaceae.